Molecule: transfer RNA, 76 nt
Filed under: Propionibacteriaceae bacterium
Lineage: Bacteria; Bacillati; Actinomycetota; Actinomycetes; Propionibacteriales; Propionibacteriaceae
Also listed under: 3 other names
Description: tRNA-Phe
Rfam family: tRNA
About the family: Transfer RNA (tRNA) molecules are approximately 80 nucleotides in length. Their secondary structure includes four short double-helical elements and three loops (D, anti-codon, and T loops).
Source: RNAcentral
GCCGAGAUAGCUCAGCUGGUAGAGCACGCGACUGAAAAUCGCGGUGUCGGCAGUUCAAGUCUGCCUCUCGGCACCA